Molecule: ribosomal RNA, 488 nt
Filed under: uncultured bacterium
Lineage: Bacteria
Description: partial 16S ribosomal RNA
Rfam family: Bacterial small subunit ribosomal RNA
Source: RNAcentral
AUGCACGCUAGCUACCGGCUUAACACAUGCAAGUCGAGGGGCAGCAUGAACUUAGCUUGCUAAGUUUGAUGGCGACCGGCGCACGGGUGAGUAACACGUAUCCAACCUGCCGAUGACUCGGGGAUAGCCUUUCGAAAGAAAGAUUAAUACCCGAUGGCAUAGUUCUUCCGCAUGGUAGAACUAUUAAAGAAUUUCGGUCAUCGAUGGGGAUGCGUUCCAUUAGGUUGUUGGCGGGGUAACGGCCCACCAAGCCUUCGAUGGAUAGGGGUUCUGAGAGGAAGGUCCCCCACAUUGGAACUGAGACACGGUCCAAACUCCUACGGGAGGCAGCAGUGAGGAAUAUUAGUCAAUGGACGAGAGUCUGAACCAGCCAAGUAGCGUGAAGGAUGACUGCCCUAUGGGUUGUAAACUUCUUUUAUACGGGAAUAAAGUGAGGCACGUGUGCCUUUUUGUAUGUACCGUAUGAAUAAGGAUCGGCUAACUCCGUG